Small nucleolar RNA from Cavia aperea (Brazilian guinea pig), 117 nucleotides. NCBI's taxonomy places the organism in Eukaryota, Metazoa, Chordata, Mammalia, Rodentia, Caviidae. The record is from Ensembl.
GGGGUGUGCUCAAAGCAGGCGGCUUCUCUAUUUACAACACACCCAACAGGAAUCCAGGGUCAUUGUGACCAGGGACACAAAACUUAUGACUUCCUUUUGAGCAAACAUCCUACACAU